Nycticebus coucang (slow loris) is the source of this 553-nucleotide long non-coding RNA. RefSeq lists it as uncharacterized. Lineage: Eukaryota; Metazoa; Chordata; Mammalia; Primates; Lorisidae. The record is from RefSeq and is a predicted model, not a curated record. The transcript is spliced from 3 exons.
CAUGCAGCAGACAUUCUCCUCCUUGACACUAGGUGGGUAGGAGCAGGAGGACAGCGGCCUGCCAACAGGUUGUUCCAGGCGAUAGGCGGCUUUGGGGUCGCCCCAGGAGUCCAGCUGCGAGAGACCAAUGGGAUUUGAAAAUGGCCUUGAUGAUUCAGACGGCCGUGACGUCAGCGGGGUCAAGUUGUCGGCAGGCGGAGCGCGCAUCGUGGAGUAACAGCGCCACCUAGCAGCUGCCUCGGGGGAAGAUUCCCGGAGAGAAAGAGGAAACCCGCCGAACUUGGCUAGUUUGGAGGAGUCACGUAUCACACGGGAGACCAGGACGCAAGACGUAACAAAAUCCGACCCAGAGAAGUGUUCUUUACAGAGCGAAUGGGCUAGGAGCAUUUUUGAAAGAAGAAAGACCAGUCUGUUUUUGUUGUUUUUUAAUAAAGAGAAGAAAUCAAGGGAAAUGUAUGUUCGUAAUAGUUCUUUCCGUUUCUCCAUCGCCUUUCUUCCAAAGCGAACUAAACUCUCCACCCCUUCCUCAGGAAACGGAAUCCGGAGAAAAACU